CAGUAGCCGCGGGAAUACGAAGGGGGCUAGCGUUGUUCGGAUUUACUGGGCGUAAAGCGCACGUAGGCGGACUUUUAAGUCAGGGGUGAAAUCCCGGGGCUCAACCCCGGAACUGCCUUUGAUACUGGGAGUCUUGAGUUCGAGAGAGGUGAGUGGAAUUGCGAGUGUAGAGGUGAAAUUCGUAGAUAUUCGCAGGAACACCAGUGGCGAAGACGGCUCACUGGCUCGAUACUGACGCUGAGGUGCGAAAGCGUGGGGAGCAAACAGGAUUAGAUACCCGCGUAGUCCCUGUCUCUUAUAC
RNAcentral lists this ribosomal RNA (301 nucleotides) under uncultured bacterium. RNAcentral's name for it is "partial 16S ribosomal RNA". It matches the Rfam family "Bacterial small subunit ribosomal RNA", at positions 509 to 807 of the family's 1533-position model. The record is from RNAcentral.